Solanum lycopersicum (tomato) is the source of this 2204-nucleotide non-coding RNA. NCBI's taxonomy places the organism in Eukaryota, Viridiplantae, Streptophyta, Magnoliopsida, Solanales, Solanaceae. The record is from RefSeq and is a predicted model, not a curated record.
AGAAUAGUUGGGGCAAAACUUCUCAUCCCCUUAUUUAGUGAUGGACUAACACAUCAAUUAAGUAUUGUACCCAAAGUUUGUUCUAUAAAUUUGUACCUAUUUCAUUGGGUAUUGAUAAUUUUAUCUUUUGUUUAACACGUGUAUAUGUCUUUUUAACCUAAAAAUAUGAUGUGUGUGUCCAAGAACCUCAUAGUUUUUUCUCCCCUGAAAUCUCUCUUCUUCCAGAUAUGUUGCAUGGACGAAAUUCCUAUGUUGAAUCCUUUUCUUCAUUUACAAUGCACAAGACGGUAGAUUCAUCUCAAUUUUGUAUUGAUAGGUCGUAUUAUUAAAGGGCACAACAAAAAAUUUCUUUGUCCAUAUACCAGCAAAGACCUCAAAAAUUCAAUUGGGUAUGAUGUAGGUUUCUUCGUCUUUCAUCUAUAUCAUUUUGCGAAGUACCAAAAUUGUCAUUUGUAAACCCUAAAUGUUAGACUAAAUAAAAUGGGGUUUUUUUUUCCAGUAAUGACAUCAUUGGCAUGGCAAAUUGUGGAAAGUCUAUGACUGAAAAAAAUUAAAGUUAUGUGCUUCAUUUUUUUUAUAUUGAGGAAUUAAGUAAUCUAAGUUGUAUUUUGUUUGGCCCCAUUUCACUAAACAACUUGCUAAUUGCAAAUAUUCUUAAGGAUUCAUUCAGUAAAUAAUACAGUGUUCUGUUUACUACUUACAAGAAACAAACGUAUGGCCACCUCUGUUCAUCAUUCAUUGUCAUUUACGAGCAACUUCAAAACUCUUUGACAAACUACUUCCAACGAAGUUAAGAAGUCAAGUGGAAGGCCUGAGCCCUACAAGUUCAAGGUAAUAAUUUGUUAAAAUAGGACUUAUUCUCUGUGGCUGCAACUGUCUACCUAAGGGAGUCUUACUUUGCGCUUCUCUCUAUAUUUCAAGGUGAAGAGUUUCUCUGAACUUGUUGCGGGGGCAGUAUAAUUACAUUAAGUUAUUUCACUCACUUCAUUGUUAGGAAUUAAUGCAUGCUUCAGCUUUAGCCAUCUUACAAUAGAAAGAGAUUUACGUGUAUAUGAUCUUUCUUCAAACAGUUAAGACUUCAUUUGCACUGUUAAUUUAAGUUGUUAAUCAAAUGGUGUUCUACAAUACCAAGUGUCUAACUUAAAUAUGUUUUUCCUUUCUUUUCUCUCUUUUGACUAAAAUUUUUAGAAGAUGUGUUGAUUAGGAAGGAAAAUAAUAAAAAGAAGGGGAUAAAGGUCUUUUUCUCACUAUUGAAAGUUUUCCAAAUGCUUCUAAAGACUUUUUCACGUUCAAUGGGGAUAAAAAAAGCUAUGAAUUGAAGUUACUUGACGUUAUUGUUGGUGACUCUAUUGUUAGGUGAGGGAUAAAAUUUCGCUCCUUAAGAAAUACUAUUAGGAUUUUUUUAGAGACAUUGUAGUACUUUGUUUAAUCAGUCAUCCUUACAACUUCUCCUUUGGUGCAUUUAUAAAAUACUCUUGAUUCUAUAUUCUAGCAAGUAAUAUUAUUCCUCUAUUUUUAUAUGUUAUUAGAAAAUGUUGAAACAUUGAUUUAGAUUUCGAGCACCAAGUUUUCAAAUCUUACUACUCUCCAUUCCAAUUGAUCUUGGAGUUGCACUUCAUAUGUGGAAGUAGCAUUUGAGAAUACAUCAACACAACUCCAAAAAAUGAAGAAGAUAUCAUCGAAUGUAAAAAGGUCCUUGAUAAUUCAGGUAAAUAUUUUAAUAAGUGAUUCACACAUUACUCUUCAGCUGCUUAUCUUUCAAUGUUGUAAAGAUAACUUAUUAGAGGAAGGGUCGGGGAAGAAGAGCACACCAGAUGGCUAUAACUCUUUUUUGCGUCUUCUUGCGGAUCCAACGCUAUUGUGGUACUAUGUCCCUGUUCAACUUCUAUUUAUUUUUUCCAAUAUGGCUACUACACCAAAUAUAUGAAUGUUGAGUGGUUAAAUACAAGAAUUUCUACCGGAUAACCAACUAAGUUUGGUUCCUGGAAGCAGUUUGAUUUGGUUUUGAGAACAAGGGAAUACAUCAUCUAGGAUUUGUAAGUGUAUCUCAUUUUUUGAGGAAUUUCUUUCACCAUUGUGUUAAUAAAAGUCAAAUUAAUGGGGAAAGGGAGGAGCUUCUAAAUUUGCCUACUUACAUUUUAACUUCAACAUUUAAACAUGUUAUGUAUUUUGAUUAUUUGCUGCAAGCCACGAAAUUUGUGAGA